This 71-nucleotide transfer RNA is filed under the name Lepidosiren paradoxa (South American lungfish). RNAcentral's name for it is "tRNA-Gln". It matches the Rfam family "tRNA". From Rfam's summary of the family: Transfer RNA (tRNA) molecules are approximately 80 nucleotides in length. Their secondary structure includes four short double-helical elements and three loops (D, anti-codon, and T loops). The record is from RNAcentral. Lineage: Eukaryota; Metazoa; Chordata; Ceratodontiformes; Lepidosirenidae.
UAGAAGAUAGUGUAAUGGAAGCACGGGGAGUUUUGAUCUCCUUGGUGUGGGUUCAAUGCCCAUUCUUUUAA